Helianthus annuus (common sunflower) is the source of this 1119-nucleotide long non-coding RNA. RefSeq lists it as uncharacterized. Lineage: Eukaryota; Viridiplantae; Streptophyta; Magnoliopsida; Asterales; Asteraceae. The record is from RefSeq and is a predicted model, not a curated record. The transcript has 2 exons.
UACAAUUUGAAAACAUAAAAGAUAAUGAAAACUCUCCACUCUAUUAAUAUACAUCCUCUCCUCCUCAUCUAAACUCACAAUACACACAAACACCUCUCUUUGUUUUGUCUGCAAAUAAAAACACAGAGAAAUCAUACUUCCCAAAUAUACAAACACACACGCAUACAACAACAGUACCCAUCUCCCUUUCUCUGCAUUCUUGAAGGAAACCCAAAUUAUACAUAGCAUGCCAUCUUCUUUUAUCUCAUCUUUACAAAAAUAGGCCCUAUACAGAAUCACUACAACUCUCCCACACACCUCUACUCCCUCUCGGUUCCCCUUUCUUCUUCAAUCGCACACAACAAACAGCCCCCUUCUUCCGAUGAUAGAACGGAACACCACCACCACCCCCGUGAGGUGGUGGUGUGGCCGUGACCGAACAGAAAAGAGAGAGAGAGAGGAAGAAGAGAGAGAGAGGCGGCGAGAAGAGAGAGAGGGAGUCGGUGGACCGGCGGUCGGCGACAUUGACCGGCGGUCGGUUCUUGUGUCCGGUGGUCGGUUCGUUUAUCCGACAGUUUUUCCGUUGUUGAUGAUGCUCAAGGAUGUGGAGGAGAGAGAGAACGGUGAGGGGUAUGACGGCGGAGGCGGUGGUGCUUGUUGACGGAACGACAAGGUGAUGGCCGGAGCGCCGCCCCUGCGGCGGUGGUGGUUCCCUCCGACGGCGUGAUAAAGAUAGUGAAGUAGUGGUUGUGGUUCGAGUUUUAUUCGGGCUUUCAAGCUUCGCGUUCGGCUUCGUGUUUCGGGUCAAAACCCGGUUGACUCGGUCAACACCCGAGUCAACUCGGGUCAGCAGCAGGUCAAGCAUGGUUAACGGUGGUUCGGGUCAAGUUUCGGAGCGAUCAACAUAAGUCCGCGGUUCGGAUCGUUGUUCGGGUUGACUCGGUCAAACCGAGUCAACUCGGUCAGCCUACUCGACUAAGUGACGCGAGAAGUUUCGGUAAUAGAUUAAAGAAACGAUUUCAUUACGUUAUAUUUCUAGUUUUAGCGUCUCACGUGAACGAGCUCGAACCAUUUCGUUUAUGAUUUACUUUAUAUUUUGAAAUGCUUGACGAGAUAUAUCUGAUUACAUUGCGUUAGUUA